Molecule: ribosomal RNA, 327 nt
Filed under: Triticum aestivum (bread wheat)
Lineage: Eukaryota; Viridiplantae; Streptophyta; Magnoliopsida; Poales; Poaceae
Description: partial small subunit ribosomal RNA
Source: RNAcentral
AUGGCGACAGUUCACCCCUUGAUUGGGGACGCUAACCUGCGAGAGGAAGGAGCAUGGGGCGUUGAGUGCAGUAGGGGUGCAAGGUGCGGUCGCCUGCACCCGGUGGCACUGCUCCUCUUGACCCGGACGGCAACCUAUGAGAGGGAGAAGGAGCAAUGGCGGGGUCAGGUUGGUUGGGUUGGCGUCCUGUUGGGUCUAGCGGCUAGGGCGGCGUCCAGUGGAGGGGGCGUCAAUCCAAUCUUGGAAGGUCGACGAGGUUAUUUGGGUUGGCAUGGUGGAGGUGGCGACCGGGCUGCCAUCAAUGUCGGCGCACGGCGGUGGGGCUAG